CCGGAAGCCCGACGUGGGAUUCGAUCCCAGGUCUCCAGGAUCGCGCCCUGGGCCAAAGGCAGGCGCCAAACCCCUGCGCCACCCAGGGAUCCCGUAUGUUAACAUUUGUAUGAAAAAUAAACUAUACAGAUACAUGUCUACAACAGUUAAGACUCUCUAGAAGGCUAAACAAGAAACUUACAACAAUGAAUCCUGGAAAAGAGAUUCUGGUAGCUGUGGAACAGAAAAAGAAGAGAAAUGCCCUCUCCUUUUCAUUUUCUCAUGCUACAAAAAAUUCCAACAAAUAAUAUGAGAGCAAGAAUUAUCAUCCUGGCUAAUGGAUCUCAAGUUAAUCCCUGGAGAAAUGCCAUACAUUUUCUCUCUUGCAUCACCAUGAAAAAACAUUCUUCUAGUAUCAACCGCUUGGAGUCACACUGUUCUGAUCUCUUUUGAUAUUAUAACACACCUUAAAAAGAUUCAAAGACUAGAAUUGCAAAAAAGGUGAGACAACAAUAUUGGAGAAAUAUAAAAUAUAUUUGAAGGAUCAAGAGUUAAUUUUACUGGAAGACAUUUAAGAAAGUUGAGAUUUUUCCUCAAAAAUCUUUGGGAACCUUCAGUAAAACACAGUACACCCUCACUUAGCUAGCUAAUGGAUCAGAAUCUCUGAGAGUAAGAUUCAAACAAGUCUCCCAGUAAUUUUUUUGGUCUAUUGUCAUUUUAAGAACAAAUGAGGACUAAUGAAACAGAAGGGGUUAAUUAAAAAGGCUCUGCAUAGGCAGUGAACCUUGAGCAGAUUUCAAGUGGAACAUUAAGUGACAGGGAGGAGUUCAGUAGUUAAUCCACGCCAGAGGGACGGUAUGUGAGUACACUCCGCUUCCAGAGCUGGUUCAGCAUCCUAGGCAGAGAAGUGAUCACACUAGUCCUGAAUAAGCGGUGGGGGCCUAACAAGGUCAGGACUGUCAACCAAAACUACUAUUAGAAAAACACCAGGCUUCUAUUGUCUAAUUCUUACCAUCCGAGAUUCCAAUAUAUUUUUUCAUUACCCACUCUGGAAAUAAAACCCUUCAAACUACCACAAUACUAACUGACAGAGCAUAAGACCAAAACAACUUAAGCAAAAGAAGGUACUUUUAUUUUCUUUUUUAAGAAGUAAAAAGGUUAAAAAAGUCAUUUUAGUUUUUAUACUAGAUUAUUAUAAACAUUUAUAAACAGAACUUCCAUACAAGGGAGCCUUUCUUCUCUACCAGCUAACCGAAAGACAAACAAGUAUUCAAAUUUAGAAGCUUACUCAAAUUUAGAGUAAAAAAAUAUAAAAUAAGAAAUUGAACCUAAUGUUAUAAGAUUAAUUCUAAUAGGUCAGUUUCCACAUCUGUAAAAUAGCUUGAGACUAAGUGAUUUCUAAAGUCUCAUCUAGCUCAAUGUCUAAAAUUGAGAUCUACAAAUUGCUCAGACUUUGAUUUAAAUAUACUAGAUUAUUCAAAAACUAUGAUGUAAGCUUAUUCUGACAAUUCAAAUAACCCUGAAUGUCAGAAUACUAAUAUCUACAAUCCAUAAAUGAUCAGCAGUAGUUUUCAGACUUCCUGUUAGCAUGUGUUCUGACUAAAUGAUGAGCAAAAAAUAACUCUUUUCUCUUACUUGGACUGCUAAUAUUAACAGCAUGCAACAUAGCUACUCGUUGAGGAGUUCUAAAAGGCCCUAAAGUAAUGGAAUCCUGAAAGUCUCAUAAAAAUAAGAGAAACAUCAUUAGCUAACUAGUAAAUACCAUGCCGAAAGUAACUCAAUGACAAUCUUAAAUCUGAACUAUUUAGAUUAUAAAAUUUAAGAUCUUUAUCUAUCAUGCAAAAAUGGCAGUACUACUUUAUAAUCUGAGUAUCAUCUCUAUCUCCUUUGGCUAAAUAGGAAAGAACAAAACUGUCCAUGGUACUCUCCCCUAGUAAUUCUGUCAUUCUUACUCUGCACAGUAUGUGUUUUCCAUGUUAUUGUGAGAGAGAGGUGCUGCACAGAAGUGCCCAUAGGGACCAAGACUUUAUCUAUACUGGAAUUGAAUCUGGAAAAAGUAAGUUUAUCUGAAUGGAGUUUUACACAGAAUUGAGUAUUUCUCAAUGUAAGAGGAUUUUGUGCUCUAAUGAAAAAAAAAAUCGAAUAAGUCUGAUUCUUUAGAUUGUCCAUAAUUACUAACUUAAUUCUUAAAUUAAGGGACUGGUCUGCAGGAGGAACAAAGCUCCUUACCAUUAAAAAAAAAAACAAAACAAGACAUCAGUUUAAGCAUCAAUUUUGCUUCCAUAGAAAA
Long non-coding RNA from Canis lupus familiaris (dog), 2269 nucleotides. RefSeq lists it as uncharacterized. The record is from RefSeq and is a predicted model, not a curated record. The transcript is spliced from 2 exons. Lineage: Eukaryota; Metazoa; Chordata; Mammalia; Carnivora; Canidae.